GGCUGCCUGCUGCAGCUGUCUCCUGCAGAAUCAGCCAUCCCCGCCUCCCAGGUGCCAGAGCAGCUCCUGCUGCAGAUUUCCAAGGAGCCUUUUGUCAGGGAGAUUCCUGCCAGCUGGACCAAAACUCUUGUGUCAACCGUGUCAGCAUCACGAUGCACACACCUACAGAUGCUCGCUCGCUCAUCUUUACAGCCUCCACAAAGAAGCAGGAAGGGAACAACUUCCACUAGUAAGUCCGAGGGCCGACCGAGGUCAACCCUGUAAUUUGUGGCUUGACAGAGAAAGCAGCCGGCUCUCGGCCCAUCUGGAGAUCCCAGGGAGGAAAAGUCUAGCAAACUUGGGCAGCUUCUGCUGCUGCACAGUAGGUAACAGAGGAUCUGCAGUGGAGGCCGCUCUGACGCACUCGGCUUAGCCGACCAGUGAGCACAUUCGAAUAUGC
Molecule: long non-coding RNA, 439 nt
Filed under: Cricetulus griseus (Chinese hamster)
Lineage: Eukaryota; Metazoa; Chordata; Mammalia; Rodentia; Cricetidae
Description: lncRNA (ENSCGRG00000026395.1)
Source: RNAcentral